AUGGGUACUCUAGCCUGGAUUGCAUAUGUCAUUUAUAUGUUUUUUGACUUAUUGUUUGUCACGAUUCUGGAUUACAUUUAUUUUCUGCUUAGCAUCUAUGAAAGUUUGCAAUGGCUGAAUAUAAGUAUGUAUCGUUUGAUUUCAUUCAUUCCCACAUAUGCUGGAGCCUUAUUCGUAGUAACCAAAUUAUACUAUGCCCUAAAAAUAGGUGUGCAUCUAAUUUUUGGGAAAAAAGCAAAAGAUAAUGAAAUGGCUGUGACGAUUUUAACCAUAAAAGAGAUGAUGCAACUAAAGGAAAUGGUUAAGCAACUGAGUGAAGAGAUACAAUGUGGCAAAGGUAUUAACACACAACAAGACAUACCUAAAAAUAACAAUGUGGUUCAGCAAGAAAAUACAGAAGGGGCUGAAGGUGGAAUACCAAUAUUGCCACUAAGAGAUCAAACAAGCCUACAACCAGAUAGCGGCAUAAUUCAUAUUAAAACACAUAAACCAUUUACAACAGCUGACCUUGAAAGUCUGAAAAGAUGGAUGCCUUCCUGGUUUUCAGAACCGAUGAGAUGUUUAAAAGAAUUUAAAAGAGCAAUUAGGCUUUAUGAUCCAGAUUUCCAGGACACUAAAAUUCUUCUCUCAGAAUUAUUUUCAAAAAGGGAAAAACAACAAUUCAUUGAUGAAACAAGAAACUAUCCAAAUUUAACAUCAUGGCCAGAGGAAGGAACAGACUUAGAGUUAUCUAGUAAUGAAAAUCUACGUUACCUAAGAAAGGCCAGAGAAGAUUUAUUAGAGGCAAUGAAAAGUUUUUCAAAAAGACCAGAUACUUGGGGAAAAUUUGAGAGAUUGAGACGGGAAAGUGGGGAACAUCCAUCAAAGUUCCUCGAUAGAGUGAUUGAAGUAGCAGAGGAUGUGCUUGGAUUUGAAAAUUUAACUGAACAAAAUCUCCAACACAUAAGGAGACAAUUUGUGAAAGGCAGUAACACACCUAUUAGAUCAUAUUUUAAACUUCAAUUCCCAGAUUGGGAAACACUAAGUCUGGAAGAUUUAAGAAAAACGGCAACUUACAUAUUUUCAGGUCAUAAAGAAAUGCCAGAAGAAAAGGAUGAAAUAAUAAAAGACCUUAAAGCCAAGCUCCAGGAGGCAAAUAGCUCAAGUAAAUAUAAAGAAAUUGAAGAAAUAAAAAAUCUAGCCACUCUGCAAUCAUACAAACCCACAAGAAAUUACACAGAAAGCACUCAAAGGAGAAAUUUACCCAGAUGUUUCCUCUGUGGAAUAAUAGGUCACAUUGUUCAAGACUGUUAUUUAAAGGCACAAUUAUUCCAACCUAAUAACAAACAGAGGUUUUGGAAAAGCAAUGUAAAGUAUAGCAGCAAUAAUACACAAACAAAUGCAAAAUGUUGUGAUUAUAAUUGCAAGAAUUCAUUGCAAGCACCAAAUUUAGAAACCAUGGAGAGGUACAUCCAACAAGGAGCGAAGCCACAUUAUUCUCAAGUACUCUCAGGUGCUGCCAAACAAAGUCAGUUAUGA
Molecule: long non-coding RNA, 1518 nt
Filed under: Monodelphis domestica (gray short-tailed opossum)
Lineage: Eukaryota; Metazoa; Chordata; Mammalia; Didelphimorphia; Didelphidae
Description: lncRNA (ENSMODG00000048197.1)
Source: RNAcentral